AUUGAACGCUGGCGGCAGGCCUAACACAUGCAAUUCGAGCGGAUGAAGGGAGCUUGCUCCUGGAUUCAGCGGCGGACGGGUGAGUAAUGCCUAGGAAUCUGCCUGGUAGUGGGGGAUAACGUCCGGAAACGGGCGCUAAUACCGCAUACGUCCUGAGGGUGCAAGUGGGGGAUCAUCGGACUUCACGCUCUCAGUUGAGCCUAGGUCGGAUUAGCUAGUUGGUGGGGUAAGGCCUACCAAGGCGACGAUCCGUAACUGGUCUGAGAGGAUGAUCAGUCACACUGGAACUGAGACACGGUCCAGACUCCUACGGGAGGCAGCAGUGGGGAAUAUUGGACAAUGGGCGAAAGCCUGAUCCAGCCAUGCCGCGUGUGUGAAGAAGGUCUUCGGAUUGUAAAGCACCUUAAGUUGGGAGGAAGGGCAGUAAGUUAAUACCUUGCUGUUUUGACGUUACCAACAGAAUAAGCACCGGCUAACUUCGUG
This 483-nucleotide ribosomal RNA is filed under the name uncultured bacterium. Its description in RNAcentral is "partial 16S ribosomal RNA". It matches the Rfam family "Bacterial small subunit ribosomal RNA", at positions 30 to 507 of the family's 1533-position model. The record is from RNAcentral.